RNAcentral lists this long non-coding RNA (739 nucleotides) under Dermacentor andersoni. Its description in RNAcentral is "uncharacterized LOC126523453". The record is from RNAcentral. Lineage: Eukaryota; Metazoa; Arthropoda; Arachnida; Ixodida; Ixodidae.
UAUGGCUGUGUGCCCCGUUCUCGGGAGCGUCGACGGGUUUCCGGCAUGCGGAUUUCAGCGUUUGGACUCGACUUUUAGUGAGGAUGUCGAUCGACCUUGGGCCUGGUGACAGCACACCCGACAUUGCCAAAGUGCAGCCUAUCAGUUGAGUGCCCCCGAAUGGACCAUCAACAUCGGAAAAUGAAGCAGAGCCAGGGGGAAAAGGUUCCGGUAACACCAUGCAUUCAGUAUGGUGACCCAGACGUGUAUGCAAGCAACCUCCUUCAUGUGGACCAAGAACUACUCUGCAGUGUCUCGCAGACUUCCAUGCGAAGCCCUCAAUAUUCUCGUCUCAGUGGAAUGGCUGCUCAUCUAUCUGCGUGUCCAUCACCAAGACGGCCAGUUGUAAAGCUCCUGUACCCGUUUAAGAAAGCUUAAUGAUUUUUUUAUUUAGUUUUCACGGUUGGCCGUAGAAUCUUAACAUUUUUAAUGUUUCUAACAUUUUUACCUGGCACAAAGUGGUGCAAUAACUUUAGACCAGUGUAAUGUAUUUAAGUGAUGCUCACUCUAAUGCUUAUCUGAUUUUGUUAGUGUUUAAGAAAUUUUAAUGUCUGAUGAGGUAACAGCAUUUGAAUUUGUCGUCGUGGCUCGUUUCAAUGAGCUGCUAGGAAAUAAGACGCAAAACUUAUCACACGCCAGUUGUAGCAUUUUUGUUUUCAUGACUACAGUAUACACGUUUCAAAAGAUGGAAAGUGGGGAA